Molecule: ribosomal RNA, 1091 nt
Filed under: Pollachius virens (saithe)
Lineage: Eukaryota; Metazoa; Chordata; Actinopteri; Gadiformes; Gadidae
Description: partial 16S ribosomal RNA
Rfam family: Bacterial large subunit ribosomal RNA
Source: RNAcentral
CAAAAGAGUGGGAAGAGCUUUGAGUAGAGGUGACAAACCUACCGAGCCCAGUUAUAGCUGGUUGCCUGUGAAAUGAAUAGGAGUUCAGCCCUUUAAGUCUUUCCCCCCUCACCCAUGCUUAUGCUAAAAUUGAUUAAGGAAACUAAAGGCGUUAAUCAAAAGGGGUACAGCCCUUUUGAUAGAAGAAACAACUUUUACAGGUGACCCAAGAUCAUAUUACUCAAGGAUUUCAAAUUAAGUGGGCCUAAAAGCAGCCAUCUUAUCAGAAAGCGUUAAAGCUCAAAUUAGCCUACAUCCUCAUAUACUGAUAUUAUAUCUCCCUCCCUGCCCCUUACCAGGCUGUCUUAUGCCCCCAUAAGAACAAUUAUGCUAAAAUGAGUAAUAAGAAAAAUUUAAUUUUUCUCCUAGCACAUGUGUAAGUCGGAACGGACCUCCCACCGACUAUUAACCGACCCCAAACCCAGAGGGCAAUAGGUCAAAUAAACAAGAAAAACACCUAUUUUGUAUCGUUAACCCCACACAGGUGUGCCUAAAGGAAAGACUAAAAGAGAAGGAAGGAACUCGGCAAACACAAGCCUCGCCUGUUUACCAAAAACAUCGCCUCUUGCUCCAAAAAUAUAAGAGGUCCCGCCUGCCCUGUGACUAUAAGUUUAACGGCCGCGGUAUUUUAACCGUGCGAAGGUAGCGUAAUCACUUGUCUUUUAAAUGAAGACCUGUAUGAAUGGCAUCACGAGGGCUUAGCUGUCUCCCAUCUCCAGUCAAUGAAAUUGACCUCCCCGUGCAGAGGCGGGGAUGCUUACAUAAGACGAGAAGACCCUAUGGAGCUUUAGACCUAAAGUAAGUCACGUUUAAUGUGCUGUGAUAACAGUGGAAACUUAGUGAUAAUUACUGAAGUGUUUUUGGUUGGGGCGACCGCGGGGUAAAACACAACCCCCAUGUGGACCGGGGAUAUUAUCCCUAAUACUCAGAGCCUCUACUCCAAGUAACAGAAAUUCUGACUUUUCUGAUCCGGUAUAACCGAUCAACGAACCGAGUUACCCUAGGGAUAACAGCGCAAUCCCCUCUCAGAGCCCAUAUCGACGAGGGGGUUU